Molecule: transfer RNA, 90 nt
Organism: Punctularia strigosozonata HHB-11173 SS5
Lineage: Eukaryota; Fungi; Basidiomycota; Agaricomycetes; Corticiales; Punctulariaceae
Rfam family: tRNA
About the family: Transfer RNA (tRNA) molecules are approximately 80 nucleotides in length. Their secondary structure includes four short double-helical elements and three loops (D, anti-codon, and T loops).
Source: Rfam
ACACCGGUGGUGAAACGGUAUCAUGCUUGCCUUCCACUUUGAUCAAUCAGCUCAUAGCAAGCGGCACGGGUUCGACUCCCGUCCGGUGUA